Ictalurus punctatus (channel catfish) is the source of this 429-nucleotide long non-coding RNA. NCBI's taxonomy places the organism in Eukaryota, Metazoa, Chordata, Actinopteri, Siluriformes, Ictaluridae. The record is from Ensembl.
GAGAAAGUGAGGAACAGUCAAUACCAGCUCUUUUUUAUUUUUUCAGCAAGGAUGUUGCUUGCAAACUACAAAUCUCUCCUCCUUUCAGCUGACCCGAGUGUGACGACACCGCAACAGCUGGCUACGUCAGUCCUCGGAGCCAAAAACACGACCUUUAGGUGCAUUGAGAUAUGUGAUACCGAUGGAGAUUGAGACGCGAGUGUUAUGCAGUCGUGACACAACUGUGGGUGUUUACGUGAGCGUCGGCUGUGUGCUGUUUUGGAAGAGACUGCAGCAAAGGGAAUUCUGCUCCUACCUCACUGCUUUAUUUGGGCUGCUGCUGGCUUUGUGAAUGGACCUUUGUGCCCCUCCCAACAUUCAGGUGCUGUGCUCUGAUUGGCUGACACACCUCUGCAUGCCAACUGCGACAUCAGAGCUCCAUUAAUGCCC